GUGAGGAAUAUUGGUCAAUGGGCGGAAGCCUGAACCAGCCAAGUAGCGUGCGGGACGACGGCCCUAUGGGUUGUAAACCGCUUUUUCACGGGGAUAAAGUGCGCCACGCGUGGCGCUUUGCAGGUACCGUGCGAAUAAGGACCGGCUAAUUCCGUGCCAGCAGCCGCGGUAAUACGGAAGGUCCGGGCGUUAUCCGGAAUCAUUGGGUUUAAAGGGAGCGUAGGCCGCAUGUCAAGCGUGCUGUGAAAUCCCGGGGCUCAACCCCGGAAGCGCAGCGCGAACUGGCGUGCUUGAGUUGCAUCGAGGCAGGCGGAAUUCGUGGUGUAGCGGUGAAAUGCUUAGAUAUCACGAAGAACCCCGAUUGCGAAGGCAGCCUGCCAGUUGCACACUGACGCUGAUGCUCGAAGGCGCGGGUAUCGAACAGGAUUAGAAACCCCAGUAGUCC
This 445-nucleotide ribosomal RNA is filed under the name uncultured bacterium. RNAcentral describes it as "bacterial SSU rRNA". It matches the Rfam family "Bacterial small subunit ribosomal RNA", at positions 354 to 796 of the family's 1533-position model. The record is from RNAcentral.